This is a non-coding RNA of Salvia hispanica, 616 nucleotides long. NCBI's taxonomy places the organism in Eukaryota, Viridiplantae, Streptophyta, Magnoliopsida, Lamiales, Lamiaceae. The record is from RefSeq and is a predicted model, not a curated record.
UUCAUCUCAAUCUCAAUUCUGCAAUAUUCUUCUCAAUUCGAGCUAUUCGUUCACCCGAUCGAUUCAAUUCAUUUCAUUUUGAUUCCUCCUGAAUUGAGCUAUUCGAUCUAUUCAAUCGUUGAUUCCUCCAAAAUCGUUGAUUUCUCUGCAAUCACACCACAAAUUCGAGCUAUUCAAUUGUUGAUUUCUCUGCAAUCAUCAAUUCCUCUGCAAUCAGAAUUGAGCUAUUCCUCUUCAAUCAACGAUUUCUCUACAAUCGCACCACAAAUUCGGUCGAAUAUGGAUGAAUCGAUAAUCAACUUUGACUUGGAUGUUUUUCCAGAAGCAUGCCCCGACGAACUCCGGCCUAAUGUCGGUAAGAAAUUCCUUACAUUAAAUUCAUCUCAAUUCAAAAGCUAUUCAAUCACACGAUCGGCUCAAUUCAUCAGCAAUCAACGAUUUCUCACAAUUCUCUGCAACCAGCUAUUUCAAUCUGCAACGAGCUAUUUAAGCGCUAUGGAUUAUUGUCAGAUUCAGUGAUAGAUUGUUUGCCGAUUUUGUCAGAUUGCAACGAGUUUUGAUUAUGUACAAUAUUGAUUAUGAUUAGUUGUCGAGUUUUUUUUUUGGUUGAAGAGUA